CCUACGGGUGGCAGCAGUGGGGGAUAUUGCACAAUGGGGGAAACCCUGAUGCAGCGACGCCGCGUGUGGGAAGACGGUCCUCUGGAUUGUAAACCACUGUCCCCAGGGACGAAGAUGACGGUACCUGGGGAGGAAGCUCCGGCUAACUACGUGCCAGCAGCCGCGGUAAUACGUAGGGAGCAAGCGUUGUCCGGAAUUACUGGGUGUAAAGGGAGCGUAGGCGGGAUGGCAAGUUGGGUGUUAAAUCUACCGGCUCAACUGGUAGUCGCACUCAAAACUGCUAUUCUUGAGUGAAGUAGAGGCAGGCGGAAGUCCUAGUGUAGCGGUUAAAUGCGUAGAUAGUAGGAUGAACACCAGGGGCGAAGGCGGCCUGCUGGGCUUUUACUGACGCUGAGGCUCGAAAGUGUGGGGAGCAAACAGGAUUAGAUACCCGUGUAGUC
This 440-nucleotide ribosomal RNA is filed under the name uncultured bacterium. RNAcentral's name for it is "partial 16S ribosomal RNA". It matches the Rfam family "Bacterial small subunit ribosomal RNA", at positions 338 to 795 of the family's 1533-position model. The record is from RNAcentral.